Molecule: ribosomal RNA, 460 nt
Filed under: uncultured bacterium
Lineage: Bacteria
Description: partial 16S ribosomal RNA
Rfam family: Bacterial small subunit ribosomal RNA
Source: RNAcentral
CCUACGGGAGGCAGCAGUGAGGAAUAUUGGUCAAUGGCCGGAAGGCUGAACCAGCCAUGCCGCGUGAAGGUCAGUGCCCUAUGGGCGUUAAACUUCUUUUGUGCGGGAGCAAUAAUGGUCACGUGUGGCCAGACGAGAGUACCGUACGAAUAAGCAUCGGCUAACUCCGUGCCAGCAGUCGCGGUAAUACGGGGGAUGCAAGCGUUGUCCGGAUGUAUUGGGUGUAAAGGGUGCGUAGGCUGUGAGGUAAGUCAGCGGUGAAAUGCCCCCGCUCAACGGGGUGAAGUGCCAUUGAUACUGCCUUGCUUGAGUGCUGAUGCGGUGGGAGGAAGGUGUGGUGUAGCGGUGAAAUGCAUAGAUAUCACACAGAACACCGAUUGCGAAGGCAGCUCACGAAUCCGCGAUUGACGCUGAUGCACGAAAGCGUGGGUAUCAAACAGGAUUAGAUACCCCUGUAGUC